This 210-nucleotide ribosomal RNA is filed under the name uncultured bacterium. RNAcentral describes it as "partial 16S ribosomal RNA". It matches the Rfam family "Bacterial small subunit ribosomal RNA", at positions 1174 to 1382 of the family's 1533-position model. The record is from RNAcentral.
UGGGGAUGACGUCAAGUCCGCACUUGCUCCUUACGGUCUAGGGCUACACACGUCCUACAAUGGGGUCGACAGUGGGAUGCAAAGCCGCGAGGUGGAGCCAAUCCCAAACGGCCUCUCAGUUCGGAUAGUAGUCUGCAACUCGACUACUUGAAGUCGGAAUCGCUAGUAAUGGCGGAUCAGCAUGCCGCCGUGAAUACGUUCCCGGGUCUU